RNAcentral lists this transfer RNA (67 nucleotides) under Polionemobius taprobanensis. Its description in RNAcentral is "tRNA-Met". The record is from RNAcentral. Lineage: Eukaryota; Metazoa; Arthropoda; Insecta; Orthoptera; Trigonidiidae.
AAAAAGAUAAGCUAAAAAAGCUUUUAGGUUCAUACCCUAAAUAUAGAAGUAAUCCUUCUUCUUUUUA